CUUUUUUUCACCGUGAGAAAAUGCUACCCGCGUGUGUACCCGCGUACAAUCCCGCCCGGCAAUCAAGCUUGCGUCCGUCAAUCACGCUUUCGUGCGCGUCAAAAUUGGCCGGCCAUCCACCGAUCCGGCGAUCCCCCUUGCCCAAUCUUCUUCCGCGUCCGGCGCCCUUCCUAUCGCGGUAUCGCUGCUCCUCUCCGCUGCUCCCAUCCUUGGCCAAGCGCGAUGGUGAACAAGCGGACCCGACGGGGAUGGAAAUGCAGCAACAGAGGUCCUCCCUUUCUUUCUCCGACUCUCCUUCCCAUCCACAUCGCCUCGGCGGCGACUACGGACACGGGUCGAGGCGUUCGUUGCCGACGGCGGCUCCGGUGGACGGCCCAUCCCUGAGAAGGUGUUCACCCCUCUCGCUACAGAUCCACGGGUGUAGGAGAAGUGGAACGGCAGCGCCUCCCCUCCCCCAACGGCGUCGUUCCUCUCCUUGCAGCGAUGCCCGGCGGCGGCGGCGGCGUUGGCCCAUGGGCUUCCACAGCUGCUCCCUCAGUGCAGGAACGGAACUACAAAAGCCUCCUCCAUGCAUCCGAUGCUACAGACCUGUUGAAGGACCAUCAGAACACGGGCAACAACUUCGAGGAUGACCGUGAGGUGCCUUGGCUGAAGCACCGGCUCUCAUCUUCUUCGCUGGAAUGGAUUUUGCUGGAGAUGGCCUCCCAAUUCGUCGGAGAGCUGCGUAUCAUUGUAUUAAGAUGAAAAGAGUUUUACAACCGUGCGAGGGCAAGUCUUAGGACAAGUCUCACGUUCAUAGGUACCAAUCCAGCACCAAAGAGAAGAAGAGAUUACAUGCCUCAAAAGGCCAACCCUCUCUCGUACUACUCCUGUUUGAGAUAACCUAAGCAUCGUGCGCCCGCGUGAAUCCAUAGCUGCGCAUCAAGCUUGAGACUUUUCUAUUUGCAAUGCAAAUGGUGCACAGACCAUGGUUCUAAUUAUUCUCUCAGUCACAGGAAUUGAAAAUAUUGAUCCACAUGAGCAACUUCGAUAGCAGAGACAUCCAAAAUUCAUGGAUGUUCCGCCUCUGGCGGCGACUUCUUCUUCCCCGUACGAGAUGUCGCAUUCAGGCUUCAUUUUUCCCUGAUUUUUUCAAUCCAUAGCCUGAAUGCAUCAGUAAUAGGAUUCACAACAAUGACUAGAAUAUUCUGACGGAGUAGAUGCAAUUUUUAUAUUUGUCAAAGGAGCAGCACUUUCAUAUGUCGAGCAGCAACAAUAGAUUUACUGUUGGUGGUCUUCAAGAAAAAAAAGGCUCCUUGUGCUCAAUAUGAUGUUUGUCGUGCAAUUAUGCUUUUCCAAUACUCAUUGUCCUAGCAUGAAUUUGAUUCCAUCUUCAACCUAAAAACCUCGAUUAACCACUCUGUUCUAACUUCUCUGCAGCGGCAGCCUCUGGAUCUGUUGGACCUAUUUUUUUUCUUUUUUCUUUUCCACGGUUUAGUUUUCAGAAGUCCAAUAGCAGCAGAAGUGGCGGCAACGGUAGUAGCUCCGGGACCUAUUGGCUUUCAGAUUAUCUACCAUUAUGAUUGCAUCAACAACUUGGCAUUCUCUUUCUGACUUUUAGGAGCAAGCCCACCAUAGCAGGGAUAUUCAUAUAUCAGCUUGCGCAGGUACACAGCAUAGGAUCAGCGAGCUUUCAAGUGUUAGCUUCAUUUAUUUUCAUGUGAAGACCUGAUUUCAAUAAGGUGGAGCACUCAUGUUCUCUUGCAUAUGGUACGAACACAUCGCAGGGGCGAAAAAGAGCUAGACCCAGCGCUGAUCUUCCCGUCACAGGAAUUGAAAAUAUUGAUCUACAUGGGCAACUUCGAUAGAAGGGACAUCCAAAAUUCAUGGAUGUUCCGCCUCUGGCGGCGACUUCUUCUUCCCUGUACGAGAUGUCGCAUUCAGGCUUCAUUUUUCCCUGAUUUUUUCAAUCCAUAGCCUGAAUGCAUGAGACUGAAUUACCACACCACCAUCUUUUGCACCUCCACGAGGCAAUGAGAACAUGACAGCCUAUGAUACAACCAUUCGAGUAAAUCAGCAGAUUAGGGAAGACCACUCCGACUCCACUCAUGUUCAUCCCUCAUCAAAUUUUGCCGAAGCACAUAAACCAAGAAGCUGUACAGAAUGAUAGAAUUUUAGGAAAUAAAGAGGCAUCAUAAUAGUUUUAUAAUUGCAUGGGCAAAUUUCACCUGUAUUUCAAUUUCAUUUAUUUUGUAAAAUUCAAAGGUAGGACAUGAUCAUGAAAAGGGUAGAAGCAUCAAUUCUGCAGCAUUCAAUGGUAGUGUAAGGAUUGUUUGAUCUCAAUAACAUAGCACGGAGUUGUAAACAUUAUUGUUAGUUUAUUAUACCUUAGUGUCUAUGAAAAUAGUUCUGGUAUUGGGUAA
Long non-coding RNA from Panicum virgatum (switchgrass), 2402 nucleotides. RefSeq lists it as uncharacterized. Lineage: Eukaryota; Viridiplantae; Streptophyta; Magnoliopsida; Poales; Poaceae. The transcript is spliced from 5 exons. The record is from RefSeq and is a predicted model, not a curated record.